RNAcentral lists this unclassified non-coding RNA (257 nucleotides) under Ijuhya paraparilis. RNAcentral describes it as "partial contains 5.8S ribosomal RNA, internal transcribed spacer 2, and large subunit ribosomal RNA". Lineage: Eukaryota; Fungi; Ascomycota; Sordariomycetes; Hypocreales; Bionectriaceae. The record is from RNAcentral.
CGCACAUUGCGCCCGCUAGCAUUCUAGCGGGCAUGCCUGUCCGAGCGUCAUUUCAACCCUCGAACUCUCCAGGUUUGGUGUUGGGGUCAUCUGCUGCCUAGGCGGCAGAGCUCCGAAAUACAGUGGCGGGCCCCUCGGUAUCCCGAACGUAGUAGUAUUUCUGUUCGUUCAGGGCGUGCCGGCGGUGUUCAGCCGUUAAACCCACUAUAUUUUACAAGGUUGACCUCGGAUCAGGUAGGAAUACCCGCUGAACUUAA